UUCAAAGGUUCUGUAGAGAGAUGUUUGGCUAUUGCUGACAUAGAAAUGGUAUCAAUCAUGGUGAAAACAAGUUAAAAGUAAGAUUUUUAAAAUAUUUUGAAGUAAAUUAUUUUAUUUGUAAAAAGAAGUAUUAGCAUUAAAAUUGGGAAGCACCAAAUGCAAACACUUUGUGGAGAAAAAAUGAGAAACACCUGCCUCCUUCAUGCCCCACCGUUCCCAAGAACAUUUAAAUGGGGGAGGUAAGACUACACCGUAGCAUUUGAAAAAAAUAAAAUCAGCAAAUAAUGUCGGAGAUACAUGAAGUCUCCUUUGGCUUUUAGGGCAUCAAGAUUCAACUUCUCACCUAACUAGAAGUUAUCUUCCUACUACUCCACAUAUAGAAGAGAGGGUCGUUUAAUACAAACACAAAUACACAUGUGCACACACACACACACGCGCAAAUAGGCCCUUGUAGCUAAUUGUCCACGCAAAUGGAACCAGGAAAAUGUUCGAUGUGACUGACUUCAAGGAGUCAGCCUUCAGAGCAGCCGAGUCAGGAGUGGUUUAUCUAAUUUAAUGGACUUACACUGAGUUCUAUUCUACUUUAAUCCUAGAGAAAUAUUUCUUAAACAACACCUGCAUAAAAUGUAGAUUUCUAAACCUCCUCCUCAGAAACUCAGCUUAAGAAGGCCUGGAGUCAAGGCUUAGGAACCUGCAUGGUUAAUAAAUACCCCCAGGUGGUUCAGGAUCUCACAACGCCCAGGUCCCUGCAGAGCUGUCUUUCUGGCUCUCUCGAUUCCCCACUGCCCUUCCCAGUUCCAAGCUCCCAUUUGCAUUAGGCAUUUCCCUCUUCCCACAAUAUUCUACCUUCUCUGACAUAAGGACUCCAGGGAGUGCUCUGUGGGCCUUUCUCCCUCUUUCGCCAGCACUUGAACUUUAUCAUGCCAUUUAUUUCUGUCCUUCAUGGUUUAUGAUGAGAAAUAUGCUGUCAACCAAAUCUUUGUUUCCCUAGAGGUGGCUCCCGUUAAAUUAGAAGAAAAAAGAGAAAGAAAGGAAGGAAAGAAGGAAAGCUUGUUUGCCUGCUAUUCUCCUCAUCAUUUAAAUUAGAUGAAAUUCUUCAAGGAGCUGUCCCUUUAGAUGCCACAUUUUCUGUGUGGGCUAAUUUUAUUCUUUCCAAUAAUCACGUAUUCCAUGAUAUAUACAAAUCUG
This 1188-nucleotide long non-coding RNA is filed under the name Equus asinus (donkey). Its description in RNAcentral is "lncRNA (ENSEASG00005024740.1)". Lineage: Eukaryota; Metazoa; Chordata; Mammalia; Perissodactyla; Equidae. The record is from RNAcentral.